UCGCCUGGGCGCAGCCUGAUCCAGCAAUGCCGCGUGAGUGAAGAAGGCCUUCGGGUUGUAAAGCUCUUUUGUCAGGGAAGAAACGGCUCAGGCUAAUAUCCGGGGCUAAUGACGGUACCUGAAGAAUAAGCACCGGCUAACUACGUGCCAGCAGCCGCGGUAAUACGUAGGGUGCAAGCGUUAAUCGGAAUUACUGGGCGUAAAGCGUGCGCAGGCGGUUUUGUAAGUCUGACGUGAAAUCCCCGGGCUCAACCUGGGAAUUGCGUUGGAGACUGCAAGGCUUGAAUCUGGCAGAGGGGGGUAGAAUUCCACGUGUAGCAGUGAAAUGCGUAGAGAUGUGGAGGAACACCGAUGGCGAAGGCAGCCCCCUGGGUCAAGAUUGACGCUCAUGCACGAAAGCGUGGGGAGCAAACAGGAUUAGAUACCCUGGUAGUCCACGCCCUAAACGAUGUCUACUAGUUGUCGGGUUUUAAUUAACUUGGUAACGCAGCUAACGCGUGAAGUAGACCGCCUGGGGAGUACGGUCGCAAGAUUAAAACUCAAAUGAAAUUGACGGA
Molecule: ribosomal RNA, 557 nt
Filed under: Massilia varians
Lineage: Bacteria; Pseudomonadati; Pseudomonadota; Betaproteobacteria; Burkholderiales; Oxalobacteraceae
Description: bacterial SSU rRNA
Rfam family: Bacterial small subunit ribosomal RNA
Source: RNAcentral